This 411-nucleotide ribosomal RNA is filed under the name uncultured bacterium. RNAcentral describes it as "bacterial SSU rRNA". It matches the Rfam family "Bacterial small subunit ribosomal RNA", at positions 28 to 438 of the family's 1533-position model. The record is from RNAcentral.
GACGAACGCUGGCGGCGUGCCUAACACAUGCAAGUCAACUUGACUGAAGGAGCAAUCUGACAGUAGAGUGGCGCAAGGGUGCGUAACGCGUAAGUAACUUGCCCAAGGUAAGGAAUAACGUCGAGAAAUCGGCGCUAAUACCUCAUAAUGCAGCGGAUCCGCAUGGAUAUGUUGUUAAAGGUUUACCGCCUUGGGAUAGGCUUGCGUCUGAUUAGCUAGUUGGUGUGGUAACGGCACACCAAGGCUACGAUCAGUAACUGGUCUGAGAGGAUGAUCAGUCACACUGGAACUGAGACACGGGUCCAGACUCCUACGGGAGGCAGCAGUGAGGAAUAUUGGGCAAUGCUCGAAAGAGUGACCCAGCAACGCCGCGUGGAGGAUGAAGGUAUUCUAUAUCGUAAACUCCUGUGA